Molecule: ribosomal RNA, 492 nt
Filed under: uncultured bacterium
Lineage: Bacteria
Description: partial 16S ribosomal RNA
Rfam family: Bacterial small subunit ribosomal RNA
Source: RNAcentral
AGUGAACGCUGGCGGCAGGCCUAACACAUGCAAGUCGAACGGCAGCACAGUAAGAGCUCGCUCUUACGGGUGGCGACUGGCGGAUGGGUGAGAAAUACAUCGGAUUCUACUUUUUCGUGGGGGAUAACGUAGGGAAACUUACGCUAAUACCGCAUACGACCUACGGGUGAAAUCAGGGGAUCUUCGGACCUUGGGUGAUUCAAUUAGCCGAUGUCGGAUUAGCUAGUUGGCGGGGUAAAGGCCCACCAAGGCGACGAUCCGUAGCUGGUCUGAGAGGAUGAUCAGCCACACUGGAACUGAGACACGGUCCAGACUCCUACGGGAGGCAGCAGUGGGGAAUAUUGGACAAUGGGCGCAAGCCUGAUCCAGCCAUGCCGCGUGGGUGAAGAAGGCCUUCGGAUUGUAAAGCCCUUUUAUUGGGGAAGAAAAGCAGCAGGUUAAUACCCCGCUGUUCUGACGGUACCCAAAGAAUAAGCACCGGCUAACUUCGUG